This 526-nucleotide ribosomal RNA is filed under the name uncultured bacterium. Its description in RNAcentral is "bacterial SSU rRNA". It matches the Rfam family "Bacterial small subunit ribosomal RNA", at positions 36 to 518 of the family's 1533-position model. The record is from RNAcentral.
CGGACUGGCGGCAUGCCUAAGACAUGCAAGUCGAACGAAGAGGCCCUUUGAAAUUGGAGUGCUGCACAAGAUGGAUUGGAUUUCUCUAGUGGCAGACGGGUGAGUAACGCGUGGGUAAUCUACCUCAAAGACUGGGAUAACUUCUGGAAACGGACGCUAAUACCGGAUAACACAUAUUUAGAUAACUAGAUAUGUUAAAAGGGGCUUCGGCCUCACUUUGAGAUGAGCUUGCGUUGUAUUAGCUAGUUGGUGGGGUAAUGGCCUACCAAGGCAACGAUGCAUAUCCGAGCUGAGAGGCUGAUCGGACACAUUGGGACUGAGACACGGCCCAGACUCCUACGGGAGACAGCAGUUAGGAAUAUUCGUCAAUGGGGGAAACCCUGAACGAGCAAUGCCGCGUGAAAAUGAUGACAAUCCUCUGGAUUGUAAAAUUCUGUUGUAAAGGACGAACCCUUACUAUAGGUAAUGAUAGUAAGCUGACGGUACUUUACCAGAAAGCCCCGGCUAACUACGUGCCAGCCGCCGC